Long non-coding RNA from Nanorana parkeri, 310 nucleotides. RefSeq lists it as uncharacterized. The transcript is spliced from 3 exons. NCBI's taxonomy places the organism in Eukaryota, Metazoa, Chordata, Amphibia, Anura, Dicroglossidae. The record is from RefSeq and is a predicted model, not a curated record.
GAACCAAAGUGCGCAUGGCAAUUCCUCGUCACUGCUCCUGCUGUCUCCAUCUUCUUCUCUCUGCUGCGAUGAACUGACUGAUGCGGAGAAGGUUCUGGCAGAGUGUCAUCAGGAGAAGCCGAUCACUUUCCACCAGUGCUUGACGCAGGACCAGCUUGACCGCUGCCAGAAGGUGGGGGAGGGGGUGUACGGUGAAGUGUUCCGAACGCUGCGGGGAAAGGAGCUUGUGGCUCUGAAGAUUAUUCCCAUUGAAGGAUCUCAGAAGGUGAACGGAGAACAUCAGAAAAGCUUUGCAGAAAUUCUUCCAAAA